AUGAACGCUGGCGGCGUGCCUAAUACAUGCAAGUCGAGCGAACAGACGAGGAGCUUGCUCCUCUGACGUUAGCGGCGGACGGGUGAGUAACACGUGGAUAACCUACCUAUAAGACUGGGAUAACUUCGGGAAACCGGAGCUAAUACCGGAUAAUAUAUUGAACCUCAUGGUUCAAUAGUGAAAGACGGUUUUGCUUUCACUUAUAGAUGGAUCCGCGCCGCAUUAGCUAGUUGGUAAGGUAACGGCUUACCAAGGCGACGAUGCGUAGCCGACCUGAGAGGGUGAUCGGCCACACUGGAACUGAGACACGGUCCAGACUCCUACGGGAGGCAGCAGUAGGGAAUCUUCCGCAAUGGGCGAAAGCCUGACGGAGCAACGCCGCGUGAGUGAUGAAGGUCUUCGGAUCGUAAAACUCUGUUAUUAGGGAAGAACAAAUGUGUAAGUAACUAUGCACGUCUUGACGGUACCUAAUCAGAAAGCCACGGCUAACUACGUG
Molecule: ribosomal RNA, 496 nt
Filed under: uncultured bacterium
Lineage: Bacteria
Description: partial 16S ribosomal RNA
Rfam family: Bacterial small subunit ribosomal RNA
Source: RNAcentral